Condylura cristata (star-nosed mole) is the source of this 282-nucleotide long non-coding RNA. RefSeq lists it as uncharacterized. NCBI's taxonomy places the organism in Eukaryota, Metazoa, Chordata, Mammalia, Eulipotyphla, Talpidae. The transcript has 3 exons. The record is from RefSeq and is a predicted model, not a curated record.
CCGGGGUGGCUGCCAGCGCUGCCGCCUGUCGUCCGCUACCCCGGCAUCCCGAACUGCCCCCCGCCGUUCCGGCCCGGUGCGCAGGAACCUGGAACAUGUUGCCUUCUGUGUCAAAGUGGAUUUUACUGAUGUAAUUAAAUGGAAAGAUCACGGUCCUGAUGUAAUCACCUACUUACAGCCAAAGGACUUGGUUGGAGAAAAGCAUGCAGCUACUGCAGGUGACCCUGAGUGGCUGUGCCUGAGAAGAUGGCCUUGGUUAAAAUUGUGAUAUAUUAAUCAAAG